Molecule: ribosomal RNA, 253 nt
Filed under: uncultured bacterium
Lineage: Bacteria
Description: partial 16S ribosomal RNA
Rfam family: Bacterial small subunit ribosomal RNA
Source: RNAcentral
UACAGAGGGUGCAAGCGUUAAUCGGAAUUACUGGGCGUAAAGCGUGCGUAGACGGUUAUGUAAGUCAGAUGUGAAAGCCCAGGGCUCAACCUUGGAAUUGCAUUUGAGACUGCAUAGCUAGGGUGCGGAAGAGGGAAGCGGAAUUUCCGGUGUAGCGGUGAAAUGCGUAGAUAUCGGAAGGACCACCAGUGGCGAAAGCGGCUUCCUGGUCCAGCACCGACGUUCAGGCACGAAAGCGUGGGGAGCAAACGGG